AAUGGUUGACCAAAAGUUCAUUAA
Molecule: non-coding RNA, 24 nt
Filed under: Arabidopsis thaliana (thale cress)
Lineage: Eukaryota; Viridiplantae; Streptophyta; Magnoliopsida; Brassicales; Brassicaceae
Source: RNAcentral